This is a long non-coding RNA of Octopus sinensis (East Asian common octopus), 503 nucleotides long. RefSeq lists it as uncharacterized. The transcript is spliced from 3 exons. The record is from RefSeq and is a predicted model, not a curated record. Lineage: Eukaryota; Metazoa; Mollusca; Cephalopoda; Octopoda; Octopodidae.
AUUGAGUUGUUUUAAUGGUUUUUCUGUAGAUAUUUGGAGGAAGAUUAUGCUAAAUGUAAUGUUUAAAUUUGAUUAUUUGGUAAGCAUGGAAAAUGCUGGAGAUAAGUAAUUGCAUAGAGAGUUGAUGAUAUUUUGUGUUGGUUGCAAACUUUUCUCUUCGUAGGUUUUGGAAUUGUUGAAAAAUGCUCUGAAAGUGCUUUCAGUUACCUACCUUAUUACUGUAAUAUUAAAUUUUAAAAGAUUGAUUGGAUAAAUUUAGUGCCGAACCGUUUGUUUUUUUAUGCAUGUUAUCUUUGACAGAUGCAAAAGCCCUUCAGGAAAAGUAGGACUUCAAAUAAGAUAAGAGAAAGGUUUGUUUGUAGUUUAUAUCACUUUAUGUUUCAUCUGUGUGUUGUAUGUAUGAAAAACGCUGCAUAUUUUAACCCUUUCGUUACUAUAUUUCUGACCAAAAUACACCCCUUAUGUUUUUCAAUUAAUUUCUAACAUAAUCAUAAAUUUAGUCU